RNAcentral lists this non-coding RNA (28 nucleotides) under Homo sapiens (human). Lineage: Eukaryota; Metazoa; Chordata; Mammalia; Primates; Hominidae. The record is from RNAcentral.
UGGACUGUCAUGGAGUAGUUAAGAGUGC